This 73-nucleotide transfer RNA is filed under the name Streptomyces phage Sushi23. RNAcentral's name for it is "tRNA-Trp". It matches the Rfam family "tRNA". From Rfam's summary of the family: Transfer RNA (tRNA) molecules are approximately 80 nucleotides in length. Their secondary structure includes four short double-helical elements and three loops (D, anti-codon, and T loops). Lineage: Duplodnaviria; Heunggongvirae; Uroviricota; Caudoviricetes; Stanwilliamsviridae. The record is from RNAcentral.
UAUGUCCUUCGUAUAAUGGUAGUACAAGAGAUUCCAAACCUCUUAGCGUGGGUUCGAUUCCUACAGGACAUGC